UCCAGUAGGUGGCGGUAAUGCACUUUUGCAAAAUGCCAUUACACUUAAAAGAAGACUAAGAAGAAGAGUAAGGCUAUCCCACUAGCAUUGUUUUUAUCGAUAGUUGUGUCAGUCUGCUGACUUCGGCUCCAUCACGGAGGUUCUCUCUGUUUGUGGGCUCAUCUAAAGACCAAAUAAGCACCCUGUAGAUGCUGCUUUGGAUGUUGUGUCAGAGGAGCUGAGCCUGGCGGAUAUACGAAGACUUCUGUAUCCUCAAGAAAGAGACUAUACUUUCUUUUCCCAUCCUCACUUUACUUUCUGGUGUCUCGCUCUCUGCUAAAUAACAAGUCUGGUGGAGAAGCAGAGGAACAAUUUCAGCCCUUUGGAUUCAGCUCAGCCACUAGAGAGGAAACAAUGACUUCAACACAAAAGGACCAACAUGGAGCGAGAAGUCAGCGCUCUCAGGAGGCUGACAAACCUCACAGAAGAAAGGGGCAGAAAAAAUACACCUGUGAUGAGUGUGGGAAGUAUUUUACCCGUCUUGGAAACUUUAAAACACACCAACUCGUCCACAGUGGAGUUAAAGCAUACAGCUGUGACUUGUGUGGAAAGUCUUUUGCCCAG
Molecule: non-coding RNA, 603 nt
Organism: Maylandia zebra (zebra mbuna)
Lineage: Eukaryota; Metazoa; Chordata; Actinopteri; Cichliformes; Cichlidae
Source: RefSeq, a predicted model, not a curated record